ACGAUGUCCUAGAUGGGAUGCUCAGUUCCAGUUCUGCCAAGGCCUGGCCCAACCGCGUGUCAUGGCCUUGAACUCCCAGGACAUCCUGUCGUCCUAACACUGCGGUGACAAUAAAUUCCACCCCCUAACUUGAAGGCCCUGGGAGAACCUCUGCCACUUGGAGGAAAAAAAAUAUCCCCCAGAAAACCAUGUUACUGAGUCAGCCUAUGCCAAGCAGGUUUUUAACAUUCAGAAUGAGACAAGGUCAAGAUCAGAUUCCUGGGACCCGGCCACACCUGGGGGUGGGUGUUCACCGGGCAAACCUCUCUCCCCUCUAUAGUCUUUGCCCCCAGUCUCCUACCAGCAUCCCACAGCUGAGUUAAUUAACUACCAGGUGAAUCUCAACUCUAUUCAAAGUCCUUCAAGAGUUACCAGGUGCCCACUGCGUGCAGGGCGCUGUGUGUGGCGGUGGAGGAUGUGUGCAUGAGGGAGAUAAGAUGCCCACCUCCCAGGAGUCCCUGGGGCUGUUAGUGAUCACGACGCAUGAUCUCUGCAGUUCUCUGAUCUGCCACUCGAAAAACAGACUUAAAUAAGAACCUGGCAGCGCACAGUGGAAAGGGGACGGCAGUCACGUGACAGUGGAACGACCUGGCAAGUGCUCCCUCCGCCAAACGAUCAAGGUCAACGUCAACAGGGGAGAAAAGCAGCAGGCACAUUCUGACAGAAGAGCAUCCCGCAAUAUACCUGACAUUUUCCUCAAGGCUGCCAAGGUCAUGAAGAACAAGGAGAGUCUGAGAAACUGUCAUAGCCAAGAGGAGCCUAGGAGACGUGGCAGCUACAUGCAGGGUGGGAGCCCCAAACAGAAAAUGAGCUAUAGGCGAAAACGGAAGAACACUGAACCACCCAGGGACUUUAUAACAAUGAAGUUAAUAAAAAGGGAUCAAUGUGGGUUCAUCGUGUCUAACAAAUGCACCACACUAAUGUUAGAUAUUCAUAAUCAGGGAAGCUGGGAACUGGACAUAUAGAAACUCUCUGUACUGUCUGCUCACUAUUUCUAUAAAUCUAAAACUGUUCUAAAAAUAAAGUCUAUUAAAAAAAACUCCCUGCAGCAA
Pipistrellus kuhlii (Kuhl's pipistrelle) is the source of this 1091-nucleotide long non-coding RNA. RefSeq lists it as uncharacterized. The transcript is spliced from 2 exons. The record is from RefSeq and is a predicted model, not a curated record. Lineage: Eukaryota; Metazoa; Chordata; Mammalia; Chiroptera; Vespertilionidae.